RNAcentral lists this ribosomal RNA (118 nucleotides) under Lepisosteus oculatus (spotted gar). The record is from RNAcentral. Lineage: Eukaryota; Metazoa; Chordata; Actinopteri; Semionotiformes; Lepisosteidae.
ACCCGCAGCUAUAUCACCCUGAAGCUCUGAGCUAGCAGCACAUUGAAGCUCAGCAGGUGUGAGCCUGGCCAGUACCUGGAUGGGAGACCUCAUAAGAAAGCUAAGGUUGCUGCUGGAA